UAGCAAUACUAGGUUGAGCCAGUGGCGAACGGGUGCGUAACACGUGAGUCAUCUGCCUGAAAGUGGGGGAUAGCUCGCCGAAAGGCGAAUUAAUACCGCAUGUGCCCCGAAGCAAUUCGGGGUAAAGCCGGGGCAACCUGGCGCUUUUAGAUGAGCUCGCGGCCUAUCAGCUUGUUGGUAAGGUAACGGCUUACCAAGGCUUCGACGGGUAGCUGGUCUGAGAGGACGACCAGCCACACUGGAACUGAGACACGGUCCAGACACCUACGGGUGGCAGCAGUCGAGAAUUUUUCUCAAUGGGGGAAACCCUGAAGGAGCGACGCCGCGUGGAGGAUGAAGGCUUUCGGGUUGUAAACUCCUGUCAUUUGGGAACAAUACCUUACGUUAACUGCGUGGAGGUUUGAUAGUACCAGAAGAGGAAGAGACGGCUAACUCUGUGCCAGCAGCCGCGGUAAUACAGAGGUCUCGAGCGUUGUUCGGAUUCAUUGGGCGUAAAGGGCGCGUAGGCUGCGGGGCAAGUCGGGUGUGAAAUCCCAGAGCUCAACUCUGAAACUGCACUCGAUACUGCUUUGCUAGAGGACUGGAGAGGAGAUUGGAAUUCACGGUGUAGCA
Molecule: ribosomal RNA, 612 nt
Filed under: uncultured Verrucomicrobiota bacterium
Lineage: Bacteria; Pseudomonadati; Verrucomicrobiota
Description: bacterial SSU rRNA
Rfam family: Bacterial small subunit ribosomal RNA
Source: RNAcentral